GGGGAUGAAAGGAUUUCGACGGGGUCUUUGAACCACGAUAAGCGAGCAGCGGUGUGGUACCGCUUUAAACAGCCAUAGUUUAUUAAAAAUAAACGACAAAGAUUCUAAAGUUUUACUCGCUGCUUAAGUCAGCGGGUCGUUCCCUCCGAAGUACCGCGAUCGGAUAAGGAGCGUCAUCAGCGGUAAAUGUGAACGGGUAACCGCCUUGUAACCCGUCACACACAACAGGGCUACCAAAGCGCAUAGACCGCCGUCGGGCGAUGUGCCGAGGGAAUUUUAAAUAGACGGAUACGCUCGUAGAAAUUUGUGAGGAUGAGAUUUCGGACGCGGUUUCGAUUACCGCCAUCUCCACCA
Non-coding RNA from Eubacterium sp. CAG:180, 354 nucleotides. It matches the Rfam family "transfer-messenger RNA". From Rfam's summary of the family: Bacterial tmRNA, also known as 10Sa RNA or SsrA, is named for its dual tRNA and mRNA-like properties. Its role is to liberate the mRNA from a stalled ribosome. To accomplish this part of the tmRNA is used as a reading frame that ends in a translation stop signal. The record is from Rfam. NCBI's taxonomy places the organism in Bacteria, Bacillati, Bacillota, Clostridia, Eubacteriales, Eubacteriaceae.